CAAACGACUCUCGGCAACGGAUAUCUCGGCUCUUGCAUCGAUGAAGAACGUAGCGAAAUGCGAUACUUGGUGUGAAUUGCAGAAUCCCGUGAACCAUCGAGUCUUUGAACGUAAGUUGCGCCCGAGGCCAUUGGGUCGAGGGCACGUCUGCCUGGGCGUCACAC
This 164-nucleotide ribosomal RNA is filed under the name Aconitum iidemontanum. Its description in RNAcentral is "5.8S rRNA". It matches the Rfam family "5.8S ribosomal RNA". Rfam says of the family: 5.8S ribosomal RNA (5.8S rRNA) is a component of the large subunit of the eukaryotic ribosome. The record is from RNAcentral. Lineage: Eukaryota; Viridiplantae; Streptophyta; Magnoliopsida; Ranunculales; Ranunculaceae.